GCAGCCAUGGCCUACUGGUUAGGGCUUCGUGCUUGUAACCGAAGGGUUGCCGGUUCGAUCCCCGAGCAGUA
RNAcentral lists this transfer RNA (71 nucleotides) under Alosa alosa (allis shad). Its description in RNAcentral is "tRNA-OTHER". Lineage: Eukaryota; Metazoa; Chordata; Actinopteri; Clupeiformes; Clupeidae. The record is from RNAcentral.